This is a long non-coding RNA of Myxocyprinus asiaticus (Chinese sucker), 1505 nucleotides long. RefSeq lists it as uncharacterized. The transcript has 3 exons. Lineage: Eukaryota; Metazoa; Chordata; Actinopteri; Cypriniformes; Catostomidae. The record is from RefSeq and is a predicted model, not a curated record.
GCAUCCACGCAGAGAACAGAGAUUGUUUACUCCAGCUGCUGCGCUAGAAGAAGUACUGCGACAAUUCAGACGAUGAUAGCACUACAAACAGCAUGGAUUCUAUAGCAGAAGACAUGUUUUUGGAAGUUAUGAUUCAUCAGAUGAGGAAUGCACAUACAAACAAUACAAACUGUUUGUAUUGGCAGAUUCCCUUUGUGGUUAUACCUGGGACUUCUUUGUCUAUGAGGGCAAGAAAGGCAAUAGACAGCAGCAGAGAAAAGUAAUAGACUGAGCUAUGAUGCGGUCAUUACCCUUAUAAAUGAGAAGGUGUUGGGAACUGGUUACAAGCUAUUUGUUGAUAACUUCUACUCCAGUCCAAAACUCUUCAGAGACCUCCUUGGGAAAAAGACCUAUGCUUGUGGCACCAUCAGACCAAACCGAAAAGGCUUUCCCAAUACAACAGUGAACAAGAUGCCCAUUAACGCAACACACGGCACUAUUCGCUGAAUAAGGAACAACGAUCUUUUGCUUGUGGAGUGGAAAGACACAAGGGAAGUGCUGAUGGCCUCCACUUUUCACAAGGCCUUUACCGGUAAUUAUGUGCAGAGAAGGGUCAAAGGGAGAGAUGGCCGUUGGCCUCUAGUGGAUGUCUCUGUUCCAGCUGUUAUCAAGGACUACAAUAUGCACAUGGGGGGAGUGGAUCUCUCUGAUGCCCUGAUUGGCUACUACAAUGUCCUGCACAAAACCAAAAAGUGGUACCAGACUUUUUUUUGACCACUUUGUGGACAUUGCUGUGGUCAGUGCAUUCAUCUUGCAUCAGCAACUGAAAGGAUUUCUCAGAAGGCAUUUAGAGAGACACUAAUUUUGGAGCAUGCAGACACUCAGACUCCAACAAUGACUAAAAAGCAUUUAUUACACAUUUAUAAGAUUUUAAGUCUUACUGUAAACCAUUAAAAAUAUGUAAAAAAAAAAAACUGUGAUAUUCUAAAGCAGAGACUGAUCUAACAAUUUGAUAUACCUCAUGAUAUAAGCUGGUAACCAAGUGUCACUUUAGGGACAUUUUAGAGUCUCCAAAUGGCCUUUUCAGAAAGGACCCAGACAAACACUUAGAUAAAGGCUUACAGAAAGCUAAAAUUCUUCUGCUUCAAACCUGAAACAUAGCUUGGUAAGACUUAGGGCUUUAGCCUGUUGUGUUUUUAGGUGCCUAUACCACAGCAUUGUGUAUUUAUUUCAUAAAAUGUGAAAUAUGAUUUUCUUUUUUUUGUGUGUUUGCACUUCUUUAUCUCUGUGUUAGUAACAGAUUGAGUAAUUCUGAAGAUUUCAUAGUAAAAUCUCAAGUGUUAGCUUUCUAAAGAUACUUUGAUUAUGUGUGUAGUCAGAGGGACUCAUGAGCAGUAAACCUUUUAUUUUGGGUGUGUCAUUACCCUGUUCCUCACCAAAGUGGGGGUGCUUGGAAAGGGAAUGUAUAGCGUACAAGCAUUAAUGUUUUUUAAUAAAUACAUUUUAAUAAAAUAGAGGAAGUAAAA